This 429-nucleotide ribosomal RNA is filed under the name Pseudomonadota bacterium. RNAcentral's name for it is "Proteobacteria bacterium partial 16S ribosomal RNA". It matches the Rfam family "Bacterial small subunit ribosomal RNA", at positions 355 to 776 of the family's 1533-position model. Lineage: Bacteria; Pseudomonadati; Pseudomonadota. The record is from RNAcentral.
UGGGGAAUAUUGGACAAUGGGCGAUAGCCUGAUCCAGCCAUGCCGCGUGUGUGAAGAAGGUCUUCGGAUUGUAAAGCACUUUAAGUUGGGAGGAAGGGCAGUAAGCGAAUACCUUGCUGUUUUGACGUUACCGACAGAAUAAGCACCGGCUAACUCUGUGCCAGCAGCCGCGGUAAUACAGAGGGUGCGAGCGUUAAUCGGAUUUACUGGGCGUAAAGCGUGCGUAGGCGGCUAAUUGAGUCGGAUGUGAAAUCCCCGAGCUUAACUUGGGAAUUGCAUUCGAUACUGGUUAGCUAGAGUGUGGGAGAGGAUGGUAGAAUUCCAGGUGUAGCGGUGAAAUGCGUAGAGAUCUGGAGGAAUACCGAUGGCGAAGGCAGCCAUCUGGCCUAACACUGACGCUGAGGUACGAAAGCAUGGGGAGCAAACAGG